Molecule: ribosomal RNA, 303 nt
Filed under: uncultured bacterium
Lineage: Bacteria
Description: partial 16S ribosomal RNA
Rfam family: Bacterial small subunit ribosomal RNA
Source: RNAcentral
AGCAGUAGCCGCGGUAAUACAGAGGGUGCGAGCGUUAAUCGGAUUUACUGGGCGUAAAGCGUGCGUAGGCGGCUUUUUAAGUCGGAUGUGAAAUCCCUGAGCUUAACUUAGGAAUUGCAUUCGAUACUGGGAAGCUAGAGUAUGGGAGAGGAUGGUAGAAUUCCAGGUGUAGCGGUGAAAUGCGUAGAGAUCUGGAGGAAUACCGAUGGCGAAGGCAGCCAUCUGGCCUAAUACUGACGCUGAGGUACGAAAGCAUGGGGAGCAAACAGGAUUAGAGACCCGCGUAGUCCCUGUCUCUUAUAC